This is a non-coding RNA of Nicotiana tabacum (common tobacco), 5152 nucleotides long. The record is from RefSeq and is a predicted model, not a curated record. Lineage: Eukaryota; Viridiplantae; Streptophyta; Magnoliopsida; Solanales; Solanaceae.
UUUAACAGAGAAUUUCCUUUGCUUUUCUUUUCGUCUCUAGAACAAUAAGUUUCCUCCCAGCUUAUCUCCAACAAUUUGAGACCUGCUUGAUCAUGUUUAUCUUUAAUAAUUUAAUCAUCUUUUGUGACUUGGUCAACACCCCCCUCCCCAUGUUGGAAGGGCGGUGAGAACACCCAACUUGCCCAGAAGACUAUGAUAUACCCGUCCGGAGAGAGAUUUUAUGAAGAGAUCUUUAAUUUGUGAGAAAGAUCGAACAAAGGAUAGUGAAAUCAAACCUGCUAAGAAUUGUUGUCGAACAAAAUGGCAAUCUAAGUGCACGUGCUUGGUUCUUUCAUGAAAGACCGGAUUUUUGGCGAUAUGAAUCGCAGCUUGACUAUCUGAGUGAAGAUGAGCUGGAAGAGAGAUAGGAACAGAGAGAUCUGCAAAUAAUCGCACAAGCCAUGUCAAUUCUGCAACUACUUGCCUCAUCGAACGGUAUUCUUCCUCGGCUGAACUAAGAGAGACAGAUGUUUGUUUCUUCGACUUUCAUGAGAUUGGGGAACCUCCAACAUAAAUAUAAAAGCCACUGAUUGAGCGACGCGACUCAGGAUAUGUACCCCAAUCUGAGUCACAAAAUGCAAGAAGUUAGAAAGAUUGUGAAGAACUCCUGAAUAAACCCAAACCAGGAUCUUUGAGCAAAUAACGAAGGACUCUCAGGGCAGAGUCUAAGUGAGGUUUGCGGGGAUCUUACAUAUAUUGACUUAGGUGUUGGACAGUGGAAUAAAGGUCGGGUCUUGUAUGGGUAAGGUAGUUCAAUUUUCUAAGUAGUCGACGAUAAAAUGUAGGAUCUGCAAUUGGAGUACCUUCUCCCACUCAGAGCUUGACAGAAGAAUCUAGUGGUGAUGAGACAGAUGUGAGCUGAAGAGAUUCAUAUUCCUGGAGUAAAUCCAUGGUGACUUUCUGUUGACAAAGGAUCAAUCCAUCAGGUUCUCUCAAAACCUCCAUUCCCAGGAAGUAAUGUAAGUCCCCUAAGUCCUUAAUUAUAAAUUCUUGAUCAAGGAAAACCUUUAAUGCAUUUAAUUCCCGCACAUCAUUACCAGUAAGAAGAAUAUCGUCAACAUACUCCGCGACGAUAGAAAUUGAUGAAUCUUUCCUCUUAAAUAACAAUGAAUAAUCAUUCAGCGAAUGCAUAUAACCUUUAAAACGCAAAUCUGCAGUCAAUUUGGCAUACCACUGCCGAGAUGCUUGAGACAGUCCAUAGAGUGAUUUUCUGAGUUUGCAAACAUGAUUAGCAGUAGGAGGAGUCAUAUCGUUAGGAAAAUACAUGUACACUUCUUUAUUUAGGUCGCCAUGUAAAAAGGACAUUGUUCACAUCCAACUGAUAAAGUCCCCAUUUUUUCUUUACUGCUAUAGCUAAGAGAUAUCUGAUGGUAGUCAUCUUGACAACCGGAGAAAAAGUCUUCGUGAAGUCAAUUCCUUCACGUUGCGUUUCACCACGAAUUACAAGUCUUGCUUUCAGUCUUUCGAUGGUUCCAUCUGAAUUUUGCUUAACAUUAUAAACCCAUUUGUAGUGUAAAGCCUUUCUUCCAGGAGGCAACUUAACCACUUCCCAAGUAUCAUUGAGAAUAAGCGUAUCAAUCUCUUUUUCCAUUGCUUCUUGCCAAUCAGGAUGCAAAGAAGCUUGGUAAUAGCUGAUUGGUUCUUGAAUCUAGGAUAAUGAAUUGAGAAAAUGUCUAUUUGAAGGAGAGCGUGCAGUGAAAGAAAAUGAAGGUGCAGUAAUAGGAGACAAAAAACAGGUAGAGGAUACAUCUGUGAAUUGUACUGCACUACCUAUAUAAUCAUUCAGAUAUGAUGGUGUUGUAUGAGUUCUAGUAGAUUUACGCAAAACUGGUGGAGAAUUAGUCUGAAUAGUAUCAUCAAAAAAGGUGGUACUGAAUCUUUUGAUGGUGAGUGUGAUAAAUCAGAUGAAUAUGAUAUAGGACUGAUUUCAAUACUAACAAGUGAGGCAUCAUAUUGAUAAUUUGUGACUGAAGUGGGAUUAGAAGUACUUGACAAAGAAGCUUGAUGAUUUGUGGCUAAAGUAGGAAUAGAAGGAAAGAUAGAACCAUUAAAUUUGUUAGAAGGAUUGGAACUAAAUGGAAAAUAGUCUUCAUGAAAAAUUAUAUUUUUAGAUAUAAUGACCUUCCUAGUUGAUAAACUUAGAAGCUUAAAUCCCUUUUUACCAUAUGGAUAUCCAAGAAAGACAUAUGUUUCAGCUCUAGGUCCAAACUUAGUCCUAUGAACUGUAGAUGUGGAUGCAAAGCAUAGGCACCCAAAGUACCUCAACUAAGAAUAAGAAGGUGCAAAUCCAAACAAAACUUCAUAAGGAGUCUUAAAACCAAGAACCUUAUAAGGAAACCUAUUUAUUAGGUAGGUGGCAGUUAAGAUGCAUUCUCCCCAAUAAGUAAUAGGAAGGUGAGACUGAUAUAGGAGUGCUCUAGAGGUUUCCAGUAAGUGCUUGUGCUUAUGCUCGACUACUCCAUUUGUUGAGGCGUUGAUGUACAUGUAGUUUGGUGUAUGAUCCCUUGUAAGAGUAAAACAUAUUUCUGAACAGUUCUCGUUCCCAGUUCAAAUGCAUUAUUUGAGCGUAUGAUUUUAACUUUUGUGUUAAAUUGCCUUUCAACCAUUGCCAAGAAAGAUUUUAAGAUAGGAAAAACAUUAGACUUAGUUGAGAGCAAAUAGGUCCAAGUUCCUCUACUAUAGUCAUCAACUAUAGUUAGAAAAUACUUAAACCUAUUGUAACUAGGAGUGUUUUACGGUCCCCAUAUAUCAAUGUGAAUUAGAUCAAAAAUCUGUUUUGUAGAAAUUGAACUUGAGGGGAAAGGCAAUUUUUAUUGCCUCGCAGGGGGACAAACAUCAUAAGGGGAAGAGAAUUUAAAGACAUUGACUGGAAUAGAUGAAAUAUUCUUCAUAUUAUAUAAGGGAAAAUGGCCUAAACGACAAUGUCAUAGCCUUUAUUUUACAUGAGACCUAAUAAAACAAGAAGAAAAAACUGGAACAACUUGACUUUUACACAAGUUUUUUUUCUAGAAAUUGGAAUACAACUAGAACUAGGUAAUUUUUAAAAAUUGAUAGGUAGAUGUCUUGACUGCAUGAUGUAUAGACCUCCCUUCUCCUCAUCAAGAACCAGAGGCCUCUUCAAAGAAGGGCCCUGCAAGAUACAAUCAGUAGAAGAGAAAUAAGAAGAAAAAACUAGAACAACUUGACUUUUACACAAGUUUUUUCUAGAAAUUAGAAUACAACUAGAACUAGGUGAUUUUUGAAAAUUGAUAGGUAGAUGUCUUGACUGCAUAAUGUAUAGACCUCCCUUUUCCUCAUCAAGAACCAAAGGCCUCUUUAGAGAAGGGCCCUACAAGACACAAUCAGUAGAAGAGAAACAACAUAAGUAACUGAAUUGUUUGCAUAAUUUGUGAACUGAUAAGAAAUUGAAUCUGAAUGUAGGGACAAAAAGAACAUUAUGCAAAAUCAGGUUAGAAAAUAAAGCAACUGACCCUGAAUGAGUUACCUUAACUCUAUAGGAAUUAAGAAGAUUGACAGUCAAAGGAAAGGAUAAUAACUUUAAUUUUAUUAACACACUCUUGUUAAAAGUCAUAUGCUCAAAAGCACCACAGUCUAAAAUCCAAUAAUCAUUGUUAAUAUGCGUGAAACAAGAGGUGCAAUUAUAAGAAGGGGCCAUACCAGCACAGUUGGCAUUAACAACAACAUCUGAAGUUGAAGGACUUUGUUGAUCAAAUUUCAAUUGUUGCAAGAGAUGGGAAAUCUGAGCCAAAUGAUUUGUGAGUAAGUGAUCUUCCUUCCAUGUUUUAUUCAUUAUUAUGAACAAGCUUGCCUUCAGAUUCUUCGUUAGCAUUUGUAACAUUUCCCUGAAUUGUUGCCUGAUAUUGUUUUGACUUUGUGAACUUAAAAUAUCCAUAAAAACCAUGGAUCCUAUGAUAUUUAUCAACACUAUGACCUUACUUCUUACAUUAAGCACAUGUAGAUGUAUUACUUUUGCUGUCAGAGUUAAAUUUCUGUCCCUUUAAAUCUCCAGAAUUGAACCUCUUUAUCCCAAAAUUAUGUCCAUCAGCAAUAAAUGAAGCAGACUCUCCUGGAUAUGCAGGAUUAGGAUGAAUUUCACGCUGAUUUUCAUCUUGUAUGAUAAGAGAAUAAGCCUCUCCAAUGGAAGGCAAAGGUGAAGAUAUAAAAAUGUUGCUUAUGACUCUUAUGUAAGAUUCAUUCAAUCCCAUUAAAAACUACAGGAGUCUUUGAUCUUUUUGUGCCUUAUGAUUUUUUACUUUGGCUCCACAGACACAUUCACAAACACUGUUAGAGAAAGUAUUAAGAGCAUCAAGCUCAUCCCAUAAACACUUCAUCUUAGUGAAAUAGCUUGCAACAUUAGAGUUACCUUGAGGUCUUUAGUACUUUGAGAAUAAAGAACAUUUUCAGCAAUGUCCUUGGAAAGAGAGUUCAAGAGCCAAGAUAGAACCAUGUCAUUGCAUCGACUCCAAGACCUAAUGAGAGUAGAGUCAGAUUCUGAAAUAGGGAGAGUGCCAUCAAUGAAACCAAGCUUGUUCUUGGCUGAUAAAGCUAUUAAAACAGCACACCUUCAACCUCCAAAACCUUUUCCAUCAAAAACAGAAGUAACCAGAUUCAUACCUGGUGAGUCUGAUGGGUGAAGAAAGUAAUGGUGAGAAGAAUCAAUCACAAUGGUUGCAGUAGAUUGAGUUGCACCACUGGAUUGGGAAUCAUCUGCAAUAAUAAAGCUAGGAUCCAUUGAAGAUGAUGAGAGAAUGAAAUGAACCUUGCUUCUGAUACCAUGUAAAAACAGAGAUACAAUUGAGAGAAAUUUCUUCUGUAUAUUUCAUUUCAAUCCUGUACAUUCUACUUAUACAAACUACACAAAACAAAAUGACAAAUCUCCUUACAAAUUUGUACAAUAUAUUUAUUGUAUUUGUCUCUUUAGAAAGGCUAAACUACAAAAGUGUACAAAAAUAACUUGUAUACAGCUAUAGCUCAUAUGCUUGGCACAUGUGGAAAGAUCUAAAAUAAUAAUACUCUUGUUGGCAAAUAAAUUGUUGGAUCCCUGCCGCGUACUGUAAUUUGUAGUGUAACAACCCGGUCGAUCGUUCCGAGAGUUGUAGCCCCAUUUUUCUCA